Non-coding RNA from Phalacrocorax carbo (great cormorant), 107 nucleotides. The record is from Rfam. NCBI's taxonomy places the organism in Eukaryota, Metazoa, Chordata, Aves, Suliformes, Phalacrocoracidae.
GUGCUUGCUUUGGCAGCACAUGUACUAAAGGUGAAAUGAUACAGAGAAGAUUAGCGUGACCACUGUGCAAGGAUGACAUGCAAGUUUGUGAAAGGUUCUGUAUUUUA